AACUUUCAGCAACGGAUCUCUUGGUUCUGGCAUCGAUGAAGAACGCAGCGAAAUGCGAUAAGUAGUGUGAAUUGCAGAAUUUAGUGAAUCAUCGAAUCUUUGAACGCACAUUGCGCCCUUCGGUAUUCCGUUGGGCAUGCCUGUUCGAGCGUCAUUUAACCCUUCAAGCUCUGCUUGGUGUUGGGUGUUUGUCCCCGCCUCCGUGCGGGGACUCGCCUCAAAUUCAUUGGCAGCCGGUAAGUUGGCUUCGUGCGCAGCACAUUGCGUCGCGACUCCAGUGUGCCUCCUCCCACAAGACCUUUUAUUACUUUGACCUCGGAUCAGGUAGGGAUACCCGCUGAACUUAAGCAUAUCAAUAAGCGGAGGCU
This 368-nucleotide unclassified non-coding RNA is filed under the name uncultured Ascomycota. RNAcentral describes it as "sequence contains ITS2". The stretch from base 1 to 154 matches the Rfam family "5.8S ribosomal RNA". Lineage: Eukaryota; Fungi; Ascomycota. The record is from RNAcentral.